Molecule: ribosomal RNA, 308 nt
Filed under: uncultured bacterium
Lineage: Bacteria
Description: partial 16S ribosomal RNA
Rfam family: Bacterial small subunit ribosomal RNA
Source: RNAcentral
GAGACAGCAGCAGCCGCGGUAAUACAGAGGGUGCGAGCGUUAAUCGGAUUUACUGGGCGUAAAGCGUGCGUAGGCGGCUUUUUAAGUCGGAUGUGAAAUCCCUGAGCUUAACUUAGGAAUUGCAUUCGAUACUGGGAAGCUAGAGUAUGGGAGAGGAUGGUAGAAUUCCAGGUGUAGCGGUGAAAUGCGUAGAGAUCUGGAGGAAUACCGAUGGCGAAGGCAGCCAUCUGGCCUAAUACUGACGCUGAGGUACGAAAGCAUGGGGAGCAAACAGGAUUAGAUACCCCGUAGUCCCUGUCUCUUAUACA